ACGAAAUCAAUUAUAAAAACAAACACGUGUAAAUGUGUAAAAGUUUGUAAUCGUAACAUGAAAACCGAUUUAAGAUUAUUUCUUAUACGAAGAAACACCGAAUACCCAUCAUGGCAUAUAUAUUUCCAUACUAAUUUGAGCCGCUAUGGGACCCGUUUCGUAGUCGAGGUCGGACUCACUUCGGAACCGAUUCGGACCGAGGUCGGACUCGUUUGCUUGAAGGGAAAAGUUAAACUCGAUCUACCGUACUGUCAACUCGAUCCUACAUGUAUACGUAUACCUAUGAAUCUUUUAUUUUCUUAUCGCUGUCAAUCUGUCAUUCUCAUUCAUUUAAAUUUCGUGCGAUGAUCGCGACUGUCACCGAGGGAACCUCCUUCAGGGAUUUCACCAAGGAAAAAGAAUGGUCAUGAUUGCAUCGGAUGGACCAGUUCCCCAGGCGUCCGUAACACUACUUGGCA
Long non-coding RNA from Episyrphus balteatus (marmalade hoverfly), 458 nucleotides. RefSeq lists it as uncharacterized. The record is from RefSeq and is a predicted model, not a curated record. The transcript is spliced from 3 exons. Lineage: Eukaryota; Metazoa; Arthropoda; Insecta; Diptera; Syrphidae.